CCUACGGGAGGCAGCAGUGGGGAAUUUUGGACAAUGGGGGCAACCCUGAUCCAGCCAUUCCGCGUGAGUGAAGAAGGCCUUCGGGUUGUAAAGCUCUUUCGCAAGGGAAGAAAACUUAUGAUCGAAUAAAUCAUGAGGUUGACGGUACCUUGAUAAGAAGCACCGGCUAACUACGUGCCAGCAGCCGCGGUAAUACGUAGGGUGCGAGCGUUAAUCGGAAUUACUGGGCGUAAAGCGUGCGCAGGCGGUUUUGUAAGUCGGAUGUGAAAUCCCCGGGCUCAACCUGGGAACUGCGUUCGAAACUGCAAGGCUAAAGUGUGUCAGAGGGGGGUAGAAUUCCACGUGUAGCAGUGAAAUGCGUAGAGAUGUGGAGGAAUACCAAUGGCGAAGGCAGCCCCCUGGGAUAACACUGACGCUCAUGCACGAAAGCGUGGGGAGCAAACAGGAUUAGAUACCCUGGCAGUCCACGCCCUAAACGAUGUCAACUAGUUGUUGGUAGAGUAAAAUCUAUGAGUAACGUAGCUAACGCGUGAAGUUGACCGCCUGGGGAGUACGGUCGCAAGAUUAAAACUCAAAAGUGAAGUAGACGGCGUGAGACGUAGACCGAACGGACGACGACGAGGGAGGAGG
This 630-nucleotide ribosomal RNA is filed under the name uncultured bacterium. RNAcentral's name for it is "bacterial SSU rRNA". It matches the Rfam family "Bacterial small subunit ribosomal RNA", at positions 338 to 1414 of the family's 1533-position model. The record is from RNAcentral.